Molecule: long non-coding RNA, 404 nt
Organism: Limulus polyphemus (Atlantic horseshoe crab)
Lineage: Eukaryota; Metazoa; Arthropoda; Merostomata; Xiphosura; Limulidae
Exons: 3
Source: RefSeq, a predicted model, not a curated record
UGUCGCUGUUUAAGCUUUACAUGUAUUUUUUAGAGAUCAAAGUUAUGUUUACUAACUUUAUUUGUUUAGAAAUGUCUCGAUUUUGAUUUAGUUGCUCUUGCUUCAUAAAAGAAUUAAUGACACAUUUGAUAUAGUUUACCGCAAACGACUAAUUUCAAGAGUGUCAUAGUGGAUUGUUAGUAAGAGAUAAACUUCAAAAUUAGAGCCUAAAGUUGGACGAAAGAGAUGCAGCUGAGGGAUGGCUUCGGAAGUACGAUUAGACAAAGUAGUUUCCGAUAUACGAGACUGUGUGAAAGAACUAAGAAAACACUUUCAGGACAGUGGUAUACCAAUCAUGGAUGACAACACUGCCCUUCACAGACUGUCUGCUAAACUUGAAUUUGUAUUUCAGCAUGGACAAAAAG